Molecule: long non-coding RNA, 1387 nt
Filed under: Equus caballus (horse)
Lineage: Eukaryota; Metazoa; Chordata; Mammalia; Perissodactyla; Equidae
Description: lncRNA (ENSECAG00000056871.1)
Source: RNAcentral
GUUAGGGCAGCACAGGCAGUGCUGUACACCAUCUGCAGAUUCACCUGGCGGCCCACCAGCUCCAGGACAUUGUUGAUGCCAUAUCUGAUCAUCAUCGGGGGCUCCAGGGACAGGCCCUGGGCAAUGACCGACAGGUUCUUGGAGAGCCCCACCACAGCAGCAUUUUGGGGCAGAAGAGCCCGGACUUCCCCACUUCCGCCCGCUUUUUCAGACCUCGGUGGUAGCUGAACUCCUUGGCGCUGAGCUCCGCAUCGGGGCCGUAGGCCAGCCUGAAGCGCCCCAGGUGAUGCUGAGCUUGGGGAAGAGCUUCCGCGCGCGGCCCGGGAGUGGGCCCAGGGGGAGGCUAGAUCUGGUGGAACCGGGCAGGGGCGCGGUGUCCAGGGUGUCGUCCCUGAAUCAUCCCACAGGUCUGCAGGGUCACGUCGAUCAGCAGCUUCCCCUUCCUGAGCUCGCUCCUCUCCUUCUGCCCAGCGUUUCAGCCUGCCCUCUCUGGACCAGCUGUAGGCCCUGCCGCCCCUCAUCCUCCAUGCCAGCAAGAACACAGAGGACCGGGGCCUGCGGCCACGCUCAUCUCCACGUGGGUCCCCUUGUCGGACAGGACCUGGCUGAAGCCCACAUGAGCUCACUGUGGCCACUCCUUCUGGGGGGGGCCCUUCGAUAACACCUUGGUCUGGUGGCUGCCCUCCCAAGCAGUCUUCUAGCCCUCAGUGAAAAAGAGAUUGCUUGAACAUAUGCUCCAGCAAAAUGGAAAAGGAAUCAAGAAAAUCAGAAAUGAAGAACAGGAAUUCCCACGGAAAAGCAUUCCAGGAACAAAUGACAAGCCCUUUAGAAAGCAGUCAAUGUUAUAUAGACCAUUAACCAAGUACUAUGACAACGAAUCUGGAAAAUGACAUGGAUGUCACAAGAAUAUUUUAUGCUGCUUCUGUCAAACCUGAAAAGUCAAAAGUAACUAAACUCCAGAAAAAACAAAAGUUGCACAAAAAUUAUAAUCCAAAUUGAAGCAAAAUGAAAAUGCAACUCGAGUUUUAGUAUAAGAAAGUGUAAUACAUUUAUUCUUAACAUAAAUAAAUAAAGAGGAUGAGAGGAAACCUUUGGAGGUGAUGGAUGUGUUUACGGCAUUGACUGUGGUGAUGAUUUGACAAGUGUAUACUUACCUUCAAACUCAUCAACUUGUAUACAUUAAAUAUGCACAGCUUUUUGUAUGUCAAUCACACCUCAAUAAAGUGAUUAAAAAAAAAAGAAAAUGUGAUACAUUUAACCUAAAAAAUACAUUGGUCUUUUUCUUUAAACUUCGCCGUUUUUGUGCUGAAAUUAGAUUUUCUUCUCUAUACUGUUCUUUCUUCUCUGUGCACAGUCCAGUUACGUGACAAAUAAUAUUUACAUGAAC